RNAcentral lists this ribosomal RNA (253 nucleotides) under uncultured bacterium. RNAcentral describes it as "partial 16S ribosomal RNA". It matches the Rfam family "Bacterial small subunit ribosomal RNA", at positions 524 to 776 of the family's 1533-position model. The record is from RNAcentral.
UAUGGGGGGGGCAAGCGUUGUUCGGAAUUACUGGGCGUAAAGGGCUCGUAGGCGGCCAACUAAGUCAUACGUGAAAUCCCUCGGCUUAACCGGGGAACUGCGUCUGAUACUGGAUGGCUUGAGAUUGGGAGAGGGAUGCGGAAUUCCAGGUGUAGCGGUGAAAUGCGUAGAUAUCUGGAGGAACACCGGUGGCGAAGGCGGCAUCCUGGACCAACACUGACGCUGAGGAGCGAAAGCCAGGGGAGCAAACGGG